CCUGAACGCUGGCGGCGUGGCUAAGACAUGCAAGUCGCACGGUGUAGCAAUACACAGUGGCGAACGGGUGAGUAAUGAAUCGCUAAUGUACCCUGGACUCUGGGAUAGCUGGCCGAAAGGCCAGGUAAUACCAGAUGAGACCACGAACAGGCAUCUGUUUGUGCUCAAAGGUCCGCCGGUCUGGGAGCAGGCGAUUUCGUAUCAGCAGUUGGUGAGGUAACGGCUCACCAAGGCGACGACGCGUAGCCGGACUGAGAGGUUGGCCGGCCACAUCGGGACUGAGACACUG
Molecule: ribosomal RNA, 289 nt
Filed under: uncultured bacterium
Lineage: Bacteria
Description: partial 16S ribosomal RNA
Rfam family: Bacterial small subunit ribosomal RNA
Source: RNAcentral